This 7993-nucleotide long non-coding RNA is filed under the name Solanum tuberosum (potato). RNAcentral describes it as "long non-coding RNA (STUB_LNC010890)". The record is from RNAcentral. Lineage: Eukaryota; Viridiplantae; Streptophyta; Magnoliopsida; Solanales; Solanaceae.
GCAGCAGGAAUUAAGAACCUUGUAAGGUUGGGGCAACUUAUUGCCCACAAAGUGCGUGCUCUUGGGAGCAACUCAGGUGAUAUAGAAUCACAUUCUUCCAAUGUCAAAUCCUCGAGAAACAUGUUGCAAUAACUCAUCUCACCAUCUGGCGACUCCAAUUUCAGUUCCCGGCAAUGAUAUAUCCAUAUUGUCUUCAAGGUACUUGGCAGUAUGCUAAAAGGUAAGGAGGUAAGAGAGUUGCAAUCACCAACAGAUAAAUCAACAAUCUGCUUCAUUCCCUCAAGUUGGGAUGUAAACAGUCCAGCCUCAUAAAAAAGAAGAGAAUCAAAAACACCAAAUAUUUGUAAACUUGAAAGUUGGAUAGGUGUCUCCAAAUUGAGUUCAGGACAUCUUGAAAUACUCAAUUCUGUAAGAGAACAAAGAUUUUCAGGCAACUUCCCCAUUAACUUAGGACAAUUUUCAAUUGAAAGGUUCUCAAGUGUAGAAAAUUCUCCAUUUCCUAGUACGUGCCAUUGCUUCCACUCCGGCAUCCCUUCAAAUUCAAGCUUCUCAAGAGAGUUAAAAGGCUUUUUGGAGUAUGAACUACCAUAAAAUUCUUCCGUCACCUCUGUUAUUCGAUGCAUCCCUCUAAUCGAAAGGAAUUUCAAAGAAGGAAGCUGUCCUAGUGCUGGCAAGGAAUCACAGUCCUUGCAGUUGCUAAGAGACAAUUGUACUAGCUUAAGAAACAAAGGAUCAGCUAGCCAAUUUGGAAAUUUUGUUCCUCUAUAUCCGGUGAUUUGGAGUUGUUUUAUGUUUGUGUGAGGGUGUAGCUCAUCAAGUAUGUCUCUUUCAGUUUGUGAAUUGUCCGCAACACUUUCGCUCCACUCCAAUGAUAACUUCUCAACAUGAUUCUUCUCCCUCAUCUUUGCCUUCACAGCUUCCCUUCUAUCAACCACAUUUUGCAACUCUAAAACUGAUAGAGAUCCAUACAAGUUCUGCACUUCACCCAAAUCUUCCAUUCUCAAACCACCGCGACCACCUAGAAGUAACUUGGCUCCCGCUAGCACUUGGAGGCUUAUCAACUUGCUCAGAUGUAGCGGCAUCUUCAAGCGAGAAGUGUUGCUUAUGUCAAGAUGACAUAAGUUGAUUAGCCUUUCCAUCUGCAGCGGUAACUCCUCAAGACAAUAACAAGAUGACAAGAGAAGUGUCUCCAAGUUAUACAAUGCACAAAUGGAAUCUGGAAACCUUUUAAUCGCUGUUUGAGAAAGGUCCAAAAAUCUCAGGAGCUUUAAUUUGAUAAACAAGUCAUUUGGCAACUCAACAAUCUCAUAGUGUGACAAUGAUAAUUCCCUUAAGGAUGUUAGUCUUGGUAAAAUGUUAUGCAUCACCCUAUUGCUUAGCCUAUUUCAGUGAUAGUUAGUGAUUGGAAGCAAUGUCCUUAACUGCUCUAAUUUUUAGAGGGGUUUCAACUUUUCAAAGUCGCCAUAGCCCAUUAAAUAAGACAUGUGCCGAAUUUGCUCCAACAUACGAGAUCCUUUGUUCUCUUCAAACCUAAUACAAAGUUUUGAAGAUGCAAUUUGGGCUAAAUCAUUGACCAGGUCAUGCAUUAAGAAUCCAUCUGGUUUCCCUUUAAACUUUGGGACCCUUUCGAACAAUGAUCUUGAUAUCAACUCGAGAAAGUAUUGGUUACCGGAAUGCAACUUCGGUAAAAUACCAUUAGCUAUCCACAGGUGAAUAACUUGGUCUUUACAAAAUUGAUAAUCUUUGGGAUAUAUUGCACAAAAAGCAAAACAUCGCUUCAAAUCUGGAUGAAGAUCAUUGUAGCUCAACAUCAAUGCUGGUAAUAUACCAUUAAAACAACUUGGCAGCUCCCAUAUUUCACUUCUUAAAAUGUCUCUCCACUCAUCCACCUCUGAUUUUCUGCGUAAAAUACCAGCAAGUGCCUUUAGAGCUAAAGGCAACCCUCCGCACUUGUCUGCAAAUUUUUUUCCAACCUCUUCCAAUUCUGGAUGUUCCUUAGGAUCCCUAUUUUCUAGUGAAUGUCGUUUGAAUAAAUCCCAAGAGACUUCACUAGAUAGAGUUCCCACGUUGAUUGCUCCACUACCCAUCAUCAAAGCAACACUCUCCUUACGUGUAGUUACAAUGAUCUUACUUCCCAUAUGUCCUUGUACAAAAAGAUUUCUCAAGUCAUCCCACUCAUGAUAGUUAUCAUUCCACACAUCAUCAAGGACAACAAGAAACUUCUUACCUUUCAGGCUUCCCUUCAAUUUGACUUGUAGCUGAUUAAGAUUGUCGUCAUCCUUUAAGUCAAAUGAGCCAACUUCUUGAAGUAACCCUUUUGUUAUUCUGAAAGCAUCAUAUGCCUCAGAAACACAAAACCAAGCUUUCAAACCAAAAUGGUGCUUCACCUUGUCAUUAUUGUAAACCACUUUAGCAAGUGUUGUCUUACCCACGCCGCCCAUUCCAACAAUAGGAACUACAGUCAGUUUUUUCCCACAUGCAUCUUCAGACAUUAAACGGUCAAUCAAAUCCUCUAUUUCGCUCUGCCUACCAAAGAUAUCAGAAUCAUCAACCAAAGAAGUUGAAGGUGUUCUAGUUUCUUGUUUAAUCGAACCAAAAUACUCCUUUAAGCCAAGGCGACCAAUUUGUUUUUCCAACACCUCCAAUGUUUCAAUGGUUUCUUCCAACUUGUCCUUUAUGUUAAGAAAGAAAUCAUCACUUACUUGCUGGUUGCUUGUUUCUGCAAGAUUUUGAUGCUGACCUUCAACCUUAAGUCUCAAAGCCUCAUAAUUGACAUCUUCCAUUAAGUUUUCAGCAGAGUCGACAGCAUGUCGAAACUCAUUAAGCCACUGGCUCACAAAUUGAUUUGAUGUCUGCUUAUUCUCUGCAUCACUUAGCACAACUUGAAGACCAAGCAAAGUCAUUCUCAGCUUCUUUAAGAGACGAACAUCAUUCUUAUGCUUCUGAAACAUCUUGAGCAGCUCACCCUGAGGUGCAAGCCUAUCAAAGAGAACAUUCAAAGCUGAAGAGAGAAAUGCACCACCAACUGCUAAGCCAACCUCCAUUUCUGAAAUCUGAAAAUCAAAACAAGAAUGAUUUUGAGAAGAUAAAAUGUUUAUAUCUUCAAUUUCCUUUACCUGUUGAAUGCUAAAGAGUAACUUGCAAACAAGAAUGAUCACUGAUUUCUCUUUCUCUCUCUCUUUUGCUACUAAUGGUCUUACUUAUAAUUCUCUUUUCCAUAAUUAUGACUUUUCACCCAACAACAAGAGUCAAUAAUGGGCUAUUUUUUUUAUUGGGGUUGGAGUGGGGGGAGAUGGACAGCCAUAGAAGGAAAAAAUAAUCAAAACUCCUUUCCAUGAGUGUGACUUUUCAAAGGUAUCUAUAAUUUGAGAGAAUACAUCAAAUACUCCUAAACUUGGCAGCAAAACUUACUUGAACACUUUAAUUACUUGGGCAUUUAAAUACUCCUUAUUACAACUUCGAAGUGAAUUUAAAACCACCCUUAGAUUAUAAUACCACUCUCACUUGUCACAUCAUAGCCAUAUAAGUGACACAACAUAGCCAUGUCAGUAGGGUGUGCAAAAAGCGAACCAAUCGAUAAAUCGAAUCGAAAAAGUGUUGUUGGUUUAUUAUCCUCGAGUUAUUGGGUUAACUGUUUUUUAAUGGUUUUAUAAAAAAAAUCGGGUAAUUGGUUCGGUAUUGGUAUUUAAUAUUGGGUUAAGCGAUAACCCAUUAAGACUAUAGUAAUUUACUAUUUUUACCUGUACAUAAAUAUAAAUGUUAAUCUCAAUAUCUUACUAGUUAUGUCUUUGUCAUUUAGCCUUCAAUUCACACUUCACUGUGACUUUUUGAGUUCACAACUUCACAUUAUACAAACAGUUAAAACCUAAAGUAAGAACUCUGUUCCUCUUAAUUUCUCUGUGUGUUACACCUGUAUAGUUCUUUUCAUGUUUGCUAUUAUUAUUUCUAGUUUAUGAGCAUUUGUAAAGUUGCAUUAUUCUUGUCACGUCAAAUUAUCAUAUAUUUAUUUAUCAGUAUUUACUUAUUGGUUAAACAGAAAACCGAAUUGUUAAGGAUCAAAAUCGCUAAACCAAAAACCGAUAAAAAAUAUCUUAUUGGUUUGGUCAUUGGUUUAGCAUAUUUAAAAACUGAAAACCAAUAAAUCGAACCGAUAAUACAUAAAACCGAAUUGAACUGACCGAUGCACACCCCUACAUGUCAGCACCACGUCAUUAAUUAAUUUUUUAUUAAUUUUUUUCUUUAACGCUUCUUAAAAUUAAUUACACUAAUUAAUUAAUUAAAAAUACAUUUUUGAAAAUUAAAAUUUAAAAUGUGGACCCAUUUUUAUUCCCCCCCCCCCCAAACUGGUCCAAAAUGUCCUUUUCCUAAUAAAUAUAUUAGUAUAUUUUUUUUUCUUUUUAACCAUAUUUUAUUCCUAAUAAAGAUAUUACUAUUAAAGAAUCCAAUUUUUGUCUCUUUUCUUUUAAAAUCACAUUAACUAAUAAAUAAGUAGGAAAUAUUUUUUUUCUACUCUCAUUUUAACCAUUAAAAUAGAAUAACUUCAUGUACCAUUUUAACUGAUAAUAUAGGUCAUAUAUAUAAGAUCAUAGUAACCCUAUCAUUAAUUUUUAUUUAGAUAAUGAUAAAAAAAAAAUAGAAGAUAUUUUUAUAUCUUAAUCAUUUCCAAAUUGAAGUAUUAGGAUAAACAUUUUCUAAUUAAAAAAAUCAUCAUCAUUAGAAAAAGAAUGUGCUUAUAAAAAAAAAUUAUUUCGAAAAAGGAUAUUUUUGACGUAUUAAGUAGCAUUAGUGACAUUUUUUAAUCAAACUAUUGACGGCAAAAACAUUUUUAGACCAAACUAGUAAUUGAUAACUAACUCCAUGUAUCUUUUUAACUGAUCAUAUAGGUCAUAUAUAUAAGAUCAUAGUAACCCCAUUAAUAUUCAAAGAAAAUAGAAAAUACUUUUAUAUCUUAACCUUAAUUGAAGUAGAAUAAACAUUUUCUAAUUAUAAUUAUCAUCGUUAGGAAAAUAGUUCUUUUCUUAAAAAGAAGUAACAUAUUUAUUUCAAAAAGACAUUUUUGACCCAUUAAACAACAUUAGGGUUACUUUUUGACCAAAUGUUAACAGUAAGGGCAGUUUUAGAUCAUAGUAUUAAUUGAUGACAUUUUUAUUCAAUUUCACAUAGUUAAAGGAUAUUUUUGAUAUUUUUUUAUGUUCCUAUUUUAAAAUGGAAAAAAGGAGUUAAGAACCUAUAGUUUGGCGGGGACCAUAUACCACCAAAUUCACAUAUAUUUCUAUUGGAAAUGAAAUUUUCACCAACUGAGCUAAAAUUUUAUCGUCCAUCAAGAUUUUUUUGAAAUUAAAACUCGCUAAUAGUCGGGGCCAGAUAAUUCAUUGUUCAAAUGCUUUAAGAUAGAUGUGUCAAAUGAGCGGAUUGAAUUGAAUUAGGGCAAGUAAAAUUGGAAUGAGUUAAUAAAUAAACGGGUUAAUAGCUAUUUGGACCGAAUGAGUUGAAUUGAAAUAAACUAAAAUGCAGGUCAUAACCCUCUGACUUUCUUCCACAUGUACUUUACAUACAGGGGCGUAUCCAGAGGGGGUGUUGUCGGUUCACGUGAACCCAUCUCCCCUCUCUAGAUCAUAUAUAGUAAUGUUAUAUAGAUGUGUGAACCCACGUUCAAAGUAUCAUAUAAUAAUACGAUGAUGAUUGGGUGCACCCCUCUAAGUGAGGAUAGAAAUUUAAAUCUUAUAUCUAUCUUGUCUUUUACUAACACUUCUCUAAGUGGUUAUUGGUUACAUUUUUGACGUUUCAGCUAAUUAUUCUUUUGUUUUUUUCCUUUAAUCUUUUAAAAUUUUCAAGUGUGUUACAUUAAAAAUCAUAAAAAAAUUAGCACUGUAAAAUUUUUAUAUAAUUAAAUGAAAUGUGUAUAUUAAAAUUUAAAACUAGUAGCAUUAUAUGUUUUGGACCUAUAAUUUUUAAAAUUUAAUGGUUCAUAUUAAAAACCUAAAAGUAAAACCAGUCAAAUUUAUAUUUAAGAAACAUUUUUUUUGUAAUUGUGCACCCAUCUUGCGAAAAUCCUGGAUACACCUCUGUUUACAUAUUCUGUGUGUUCGUUAUCAUAUCUACGUAUUGUCAUUGAUAGAAAAAGCUUCUAAUUUGUUAAUAUUACACUUUGCUAUGAACUUCCUACACAAAACUAUUACUCCCAAUGCCAACAUGAUUUAACAAGAGCAAAUAAUUAAUAAACUAAGAGAAGUAAUGAAAAAUAAAUAUCGAUGUAAGAACUUGCAGGCCUGAAGAAAGAAAUACACCACCAACUACUAAAUAUGUGCAAACAUUCAAGGAUAGUGCAAAUAGAAUGUAUCCUGCAUUAAAAAGAUUUUCUAUAGUGACAGCAGAUCUUCGUUCUACUGUGAAGCUAGCAAAGUUUCAUUCUUGGCAUGGGAUAUUUGAUGCUUAAUUACGAGAACUUAAAUUUCAAUUAUACAUGGUUACAUAAGCUACAUAUGAUGUCUUUCCCAAUUGAGAUGUGAAAUUAAAAUGUGGUAAGAGCAUAAACCAAUAAGCAAUGAGAAACUAAUCCAUACCUCCCAUCCAAGAUAUAUGCAAUUCUAUAACGCACAACAUUUAGAAUCUAUAAUAUCUAAUUCUAACAAUGGAAGUUUUCAUAUCGAACUGAAGAUGAUUUCUUGGCUUCAAUGUGGCAAUAGACACUCAAUGUUGCUCAACAAGAUUUUUAAAAAGGGAAAGCAAAGUGAAGUAAACAAAAAUAGAAAGCUUGUGAGGAAAAAGAAUAACUUACAUUUGUUUUAAUCAUUAAAGGCAUUCCCAAUCGAUCUCUAUGUUCGAGAUAUGAGCACUUUCUGGCCAAUAAUAUUCCCCCUUGUCAAAUUCUAGUAGUGGUUUGAGCAAUGGGUAGUCGGAAACAUAUAGUUCAGAGAGGGAAGAGAGCAUCCCUUUUACGGAUUUGAGAUUAGGGCAAUCCUUGAUGAUCAGCUUAGAUAGGGAAGAGGGCAUCCCUUUUACUGGAAGGGAUUGGAAAUUCGGGCAAUCCUCGAUGAUCAGCUCAGAGAGGGAGGAGGGUAGUGCUGAUUCAGGAAGUGAUCAGAGCUCAUGAUGGCGAGAUAAAUGUAGCUCAUAAAGAGAUGAGGGAAGCCGCCCUUGUUCCAUCAUUGACUGAAUUUGAGGUAAAUCAACCAUAUAUAUAUAUUCAAGAGAGGUGAGGCUUUUGAGAACUUGGCUGCUUAAUGUUUUCAGAUUGCGUAUGGUAAGUCAUUGAAUAGAGCAAGGCAACUCCCAAUGUUCUAUCUCUUUGUCACUGCCAUCAUGUGCGAUCACUAACUCUCUGAGACAGGGUAAAUGCCACACCUUUCGACCAUUCACCAGUUUCGUGUAAUUAUAGAUCUCAAGUACUUGUAAAUUGAAGGAUAAUUCUCCUUCAGGAAAUGACACUGUUUCUGGACAAUUCCACAGAUUCAGUGUUUUAAGAGAUGGAAGGAGUUGCUGCAUACGUUCUGGCAGCCACUUCAGCUUUGAACAGUUGAAAAUGCACAAAUACUUCAUCUGUGUCCCCGAACAUGCCACCGAAGUUAUUUCAAGAUUCUCACAAUUCCAAAUAUGGAGACUUUCAGUGGCAGUAGGAAUCAAAAAGCUAGUAAGGUUGGGGCAAUUUUGUACCCUCAAUUUGCGUGCUCUCGGGAGCAAGUCACAUUCUUGCAGUGUCAAAUCCUCCAGAAACAUGUUAGAAUAACUCAUCUCACAAACUGGCUGCUCCAAUUUCAAUUUCUGGCAACGAGAUAUCCGUAUUGUCUUCAAGUUACUCGGCAGAAUGCUAAAAGGUAAGGAGGUAAGAGAGUUACAAUGAGCAACAGAUAAUUUAACAAUUCUGUCAGCCUGCAUUCCUUGAAGUUGGGAUGCAAACAGUGCAGCGUCGUCGAAAAGAGGUGUCCUUGAAAUGUUCAAUUCUGUCAGAGAAGAAAGAUUUUCAGGCAACUUUCCCAUCAACUUGCAAUUGAAA